Molecule: ribosomal RNA, 509 nt
Filed under: Triatoma rubrovaria
Lineage: Eukaryota; Metazoa; Arthropoda; Insecta; Hemiptera; Reduviidae
Description: eukaryotic LSU rRNA
Rfam family: Eukaryotic large subunit ribosomal RNA
Source: RNAcentral
UCUCUUUUAAAUGAUUUGAGAUGGCCUCUCGCCCUAUUCAGUGUAACAGCUGUGGUAGUGGGUUUGGUCGCUCGCAUUUAAAUUGGAAGGGUAAUGGUGGACCGCACUUCUCCCUUAGUAGGACGUUGCGACCUGUCAAAUAAUAUCCUAAGUAUUUGGCUAAUUUGUCUGUUUUUAGGCAGUACUGAAAGGUAUUUCCUUUAACAGUUUUAGCCGUUUACAUACUGGAUAUAAUUGACAGUAACGAAUCAUGGUGUUGAGCCACUUACUUUGUAAGUGUCCUUUAUGGCUGUUUGCAAGUGGGUUGGUUAAUUAGUUUUAGUCGGAUUUUGGUCCGUCUAACUAUUCCGCCUACUGUUGGUAAACUGUUCCUUGGACAGUGCUUAUAACACCGGUCGGCAGCGAUUCAGGUUCAGGCUCUUAUCCGACCCGUCUUGAAACACGGACCAAGGAGUUUAGCGUGUACGCAAGUCAUUGGGUGUAUAAAACCCAAAGGCGCAAUGAAAUUG